AUGGCUCAGAUUGAACGCUGGCGGCAGGCCUAACACAUGCAAGUCGAGCGGUAACAGAAAGUAGCUUGCUACUUUGCUGACGAGCGGCGGACGGGUGAGUAAUGCUUGGGAACAUGCCUUGAGGUGGGGGACAACAGUUGGAAACGACUGCUAAUACCGCAUAAUGUCUACGGACCAAAGGGGGCUUCGGCUCUCGCCUUUAGAUUGGCCCAAGUGGGAUUAGCUAGUUGGUGAGGUAAUGGCUCACCAAGGCGACGAUCCCUAGCUGGUUUGAGAGGAUGAUCAGCCACACUGGGACUGAGACACGGCCCAGACUCCUACGGGAGGCAGCAGUGGGGAAUAUUGCACAAUGGGCGCAAGCCUGAUGCAGCCAUGCCGCGUGUGUGAAGAAGGCCUUCGGGUUGUAAAGCACUUUCAGUCAGGAGGAAAGCGUGGUGGUUAAUACCCAUCAUGUGUGACGUUACUGACAGAAGAAGCACCGGCUAACUCCGUGCCAGCAGCCGCGGUAAUACGGAGGGUGCGAGCGUUAAUCGGAAUUACUGGGCGUAAAGCGUACGCAGGCGGUUUGUUAAGCGAGAUGUGAAAGCCCCGGGCUCAACCUGGGAACUGCAUUUCGAACUGGCAAACUAGAGUGUGAUAGAGGGUG
Molecule: ribosomal RNA, 646 nt
Filed under: uncultured bacterium
Lineage: Bacteria
Description: bacterial SSU rRNA
Rfam family: Bacterial small subunit ribosomal RNA
Source: RNAcentral